Molecule: unclassified non-coding RNA, 3544 nt
Filed under: Hevea brasiliensis (rubber tree)
Lineage: Eukaryota; Viridiplantae; Streptophyta; Magnoliopsida; Malpighiales; Euphorbiaceae
Source: RNAcentral
GUUAAAUUGGGCCACGUCAACCGAUUUGGGCUGGUCUCGCACAACCACAAACGCGACCCUAGUGGAUUAGAUAUAAAACGACGUCGUGUGGUAGAACGGUGAUCUUACAGGUUACGACUGACAAAACGGCCAUCAUUUUAGUGGUAAUUAAGCAAAACCCCAAGCCAUUAGCCAGAGAGGACGAUGAUGAUAAAGCUAAGGAAAUAUUCUGCUUAGGGUUUUUGGGUAUAUUCUCUUCCACUCUCUCUGUUAAUAGAAAAACAUGGCAGUUUCUUCUCUUUAUCCAUUCAAUCCUAGUAUCCUCUCUAGAGUUGCUGCUCAGCCUCAUCUGUUUGCAUACUCUGUUUUGAGUCGAAGCAAAUUUGGGGAAACGGUGGCCGAUGAUGGGCGAAGGAAAAGUAGGCUGAGUAGGUUUCUGGCUUUGUCGAUGCACUCCAAUGCUAAGGUUCUCAAGUCCAAUUUGAAGUCACGGUAUGGGCAGACGUUGAGCCCCUACGAUAGCAGUGAAGAGGAGGACGAUGAAGAUGAAGAUGAAGACGAUGACGUGGCAGAGGACGAUUGGUUGUUGUUGGAUGAUGAAUUUGCGGAACCUGCAGAAUUUGAAGUUGAAGGAAAAAGAUUGAAGUCGCAAAAGAAAAUCAAUAAAAGACAAGGUGUUCUCUAAAUUCAAAGAAACUUUCAAGUUUUCAAUGGGAAUAAUGGCUGAAUGAUAAUUUGUGCUUGCAGGUGGUCAUAGACAGUUGGAUAUAAGCAGGAAGAGUAUUGUUGGAAAUUUUUAUCUUGCUAAAAACAAAACAAAGGAGGUAGACUCCUUGCAUAUGGACAACAAAGGAAGGGUAUGAUCAGAUUUUUCUUUUCCCCUAUAAGCUGCACUGCUAGUGUAAAAGAGAUUACCUGCUUUAUUUGGUUGCAGCUGAUGUCCAAAGCACCUAAUGAGAAAAAAUAUCAAAAGGUGUCUGAAGAAAUAGACUUAGAUGAGAAAUGGCUCCCACUUUUUGAUUACCUAACUACCUUUGGGCUCAAGGAAUCAGACUUCAUCCAGAUGUAUGAGAGGCACAUGCCAUUCCUUCAAAUAAAUGUAUCUUCUGCAGGGGAGAGGUUGGAGUACCUGCUGAGUGUUGGUGUCAAAAACAGAGAUAUCAGAAGAAUACUUUUGAGGCAGCCACAAAUUCUAGAAUAUACAGUGGAGAACAAUUUGAAAUCUCAUGUUGCUUUCUUGAGGGGUUUAGGUAUUCCAAACUCUAAAAUAGGGCUGAUAAUUGCUGUUGCUCCUUCACUUUUUUCAUAUAGUGUUGAAAAUUCAUUAAAACCCACAGUAAGAUAUUUGGUGGAGGAAGUUGGCAUUAAUGAAAAAAGUAUAAGUAAAGUAGUGCAGCUAAGCCCUCAGAUCCUGGUUCAGCGGAUUGACAUAUCAUGGAAUACUCGCUAUAUUUUUCUUUCAAAGGAGUUGGGAGCAUCUAGAGAUAGUGUCGUAAAGAUGGUAACAAAACAUCCUCAGCUUCUCCACUACAGCAUAGAUGAUGGAUUCGUUCCAAGGAUCAAUUUUCUGAGGAGUAUUGGCAUGCGUAAUUUGGACAUCUUGAAAGUCUUGACAUGCCUUCCACAGGUAAGUUUUGCUUCCUUUAUAUGCAUGUUGGGACAUUCUUUUUAUUUUUACAACAUGCAGGAUUUGUUGUGCUUAUAUACCAUGUUAGGCCUCUUUGGUCUAGAAUUUUUCCUUGGUCUUAUUUCAAAUUCAUUGCAUUACUACCUUUUUUGAAACAAGGACUACACCCUGCUGGUAAGCACCACACCCUGCUGGUAAGCACCACAAUUGGAAGUGGUUUGCUGUUAUAGGUCGCAGAAAUUUGUCUCUAUAACUUAAGAGUAUUCAACGAUAGCGUUUUGUGGUUGUCAUGAUCAGGUUUCACAUUUCAGGGAGGACAAAAUAAAAUAUAGAUAGCAACAGAAAAUUUUAGAAAACAAGUUUUCUGAUACAUUAUCAUGUGAUUUUUUUGGUUUUUAUUUCAUGCUACCUGUUUUAUUUAGUAUGGAAGUUGUUGGUUUUGAAUCUUCUAAAUUGUUGGAAUUGAUGAGAUUCCAUGCUCCAAUUUAAGGGAGAUUGGAAAGUUAGUGUUUAUUUGAUAUAUUCCUAUUUAGCUAUGUAGCAUAAGCUAGAGUGAUUUUAGGGAUGUUUGUAUAUAAUUAUAAAUAUGUGAUCUUCUAUUCUAUUAAAAAUAGAAGAAAAUAUAAUAAAAGAUGUAGUCUUUAUGGUUCUUUUCCCUCCCUUUCUUUAUUUCUUUCUUAUUCUUUUUUUUCUUCUUCAAUCUUAACAUUGAUGAUCAUGUUGGAUGUGUUAUUAGGUAUUAUCUUUGUCACUGGAGGACAAUCUAAAGCCAAAGUACAUGUAUUUGAUUAAUGAACUUCGUAAUGAGGUGCACUCGUUGACCAAAUAUCCUAUGUACUUGAGCUUGUCUUUGGACCAGAGAAUUCGCCCUCGCCAUAAGUUCUUGGUUGCCUUAAAGAAAGCUCCAAAGGGACCCUUUCCUUUGAGUUCAUUUGUUCCAACAGAUGAAUGCUUUUGUCAGCAAUGGGCUGGAACUAGUUUAGAUAAAUAUUUGUCAUUUCGUCAGCAAUUACUACUUAAGGAGUUUGCAAAGAAAUAUGAAAGACAAGGAUAAUGUAUAAUGUGUUGCCAUAGAGCCUAUGUGUUCUUUUUACUAACACAAGUACUGUGGCAAGGUCUCUCCACUGUUCAGCAACUUAUAUGGCUUAUUUUGCAAAACUGACCUGGAAUUUUUGAGGUGAAUCUCUGGUGUUCAUAUUACAAUGAACCUCCUCUCCUGCUCUAGUUCUGCUCAUAUUUGAGGUGAACUCCAAAAAGCAUGUCUGUGAGAGGGAAAAAGAGAUGACAUUUGAAGGAUCCAGUAGCAACUUGUCGUCACAGCAAGUUGUUCAGGAUUAGAAUCUCAAAUUCUUGAAUGAUUACCCUACGCAUUGCAGGACAAAGCUAAUUGCAAUCCAUCAAGAGAUGACAUUUGAAGUAGUAAGUUGUCAUCACAGCAAGUUUUUCUCGUAAUGCUUAUACCAUUUUCUUUCCCCUUUUUUCCCACCUUAUGCUACAGAUAUAUGAGAUACCAUUUUUGAUACCGCUGCAGCCUCACAAAUCACUUUGAAGGGUAGUGAAUUGUAAUUAAAUUUUUAUUAUUGAAUUGUAAUUAAAUUUUUAUUUUCUCCAUGAUUUGCGAUGGAUAUGUGUCAACUUCCUAUAUAUUUGAUGUUCUAACGGAAGUUGCUUCUUUUAUCUGUGUGCUUUUUUAGCUGGCUGUCACUAUUGCCCUGUUUUACUUUCUCAGUCUCGAGUCUUAUUUGACAUUCCUGUAAGGUUGAGGCAGUUGCAUGAUCCACUCAAAACAAGGGAACCUGGCAACCUAUUUUGUUCCCAAGUACCACCACAAUUCUUUUUAAGUUUCCCCCAAUUUCCACAAUAUUUGAGACUAUCAUCUGUAACCGAGAGUAUAAAUAUGAAUUUUGAGGCAUGGCUACUUGUUGCUGUUAAAUCAAC